RNAcentral lists this ribosomal RNA (666 nucleotides) under uncultured Acidobacteriota bacterium. RNAcentral's name for it is "SSU rRNA". It matches the Rfam family "Bacterial small subunit ribosomal RNA", at positions 245 to 915 of the family's 1533-position model. Lineage: Bacteria; Pseudomonadati; Acidobacteriota. The record is from RNAcentral.
CUAGUUGGUAGGGUAACGGCCUACCAAGGCUUUGAUCGUUAGCUGGUCUGAGAGGAUGGCCAGCCACACUGGAACUGAGACACGGUCCAGACUCCUACGGGAGGCAGCAGUGGGGAAUCUUGCACAAUGGGCGAAAGCCUGAUGCAGCGACGCCGCGUGGGGGAUGAAGCAUCUCGGUGUGUAAACCCCUUUCGACCCGGAAGAAUGCCUCGCAAGAGGACUGACGGUACGGGUAUAAGAAGCCCCGGCUAACUACGUGCCAGCAGCCGCGGUAAGACGUAGGGGGCCAGCGUUGUUCGGAAUUACUGGGUGUAAAGGGUUCGUAGGCGGUGUGGCAAGUUGGGAGUGAAAUCUCUGGGCUCAACCCAGAGGCUGCUUCCAAAACUGCUGUGCUUGAGUGUGGGAGAGGCGCGUGGAAUUGCAGGUGUAGCGGUGAAAUGCGUAGAUAUCUGCAGGAACACCCGUGGCGAAAGCGGCGCGCUGGACCACUACUGACGCUGAGGAACGAAAGCUAGGGGAGCAAACAGGAUUAGAUACCCUGGUAGUCCUAGCCCUAAACGAUCAGGACUUGGGGUGCCGCCCGUUCGGGCGUCGUCCCGGAGCUAACGCGUUAAGUCCUGCACCUGGGGAGUACGGUCGCAAGACUGAAACUCAAAGGAAUUGACG